Ornithorhynchus anatinus (platypus) is the source of this 138-nucleotide non-coding RNA. The record is from Rfam. Lineage: Eukaryota; Metazoa; Chordata; Mammalia; Monotremata; Ornithorhynchidae.
CCCCUCUCAGGGUCCCACCUGUAGGGUUUCCAGUACUCUACCAGUCUCAGCGAGAGGAGGGAAAGUCAAGCAGGGGCAUACCCAUUCCAUUCCUAGCUUGGGCAAUGGCUAGCGAGUGGAAGGCAAUCUGCUACAAAU